RNAcentral lists this microRNA precursor (135 nucleotides) under Gossypium hirsutum (cotton). Its description in RNAcentral is "MIR7502 microRNA precursor family". It matches the Rfam family "MIR7502 microRNA precursor family". Lineage: Eukaryota; Viridiplantae; Streptophyta; Magnoliopsida; Malvales; Malvaceae. The record is from Rfam by way of RNAcentral.
AAAAUUUUACCUAAUUUUACUAUUAAAAGUUGGCAUAGUUAACAGAAUAACUCGAUAAUUACAAAUGGUGUGCCACAUAUACCUCAUUUUAACGUAUAAUAAUCAGUUUUUAAUCGUAAAAAUAAUUGAAGUUAU